This 741-nucleotide long non-coding RNA is filed under the name Lotus japonicus. RNAcentral's name for it is "long non-coding RNA (LJAP_LNC001982)". The record is from RNAcentral. Lineage: Eukaryota; Viridiplantae; Streptophyta; Magnoliopsida; Fabales; Fabaceae.
AGGGCGGGGAGUGAUCGCCGGUGCAGUGAGGCACGGACAAGGAGCGGCUCCUGGCAGGCUUCUAGGCGGAGGGUCACAUGAAUGAACCGAUCUCACACCCGAACAAGAGGUAUUUCGAGACUGUGUAGGGAUGGACUAUACAGUUGAGGAGGGCAUAUAUGAUUUGAUUGUACUACCCAUAACAACAAGUUGCAACUUCUUUUCGGGAGCCCAACUCAUAAGAACUCCAUGGUUAAGUGUGCUAGCCUUGGAGCAAUAUUAUGAUGGGUGACCUCCUGGGAAGCUUUCCCGGGAAGCGCGCGAGUGAGGAUAAAGCGCGCUGAAAAGACUCGUGUUGUUACCGUGAGGCCAGUCGUCAAGUCAGGAUGUUACAAAUGGUAUCAGAGCCGACCUCUCCCAGUACGGUGUGGUUCGGGGACGAACCAAGCGGAAGCUGGUGGGCCUGUGACGCCCGGGGCCGACGAGGGCGGGGAGUGAUCGCCGGUGCAGUGAGGCACGGACAAGGAGCGGCUCCUGGCAGGCUUCUAGGCGGAGGGUCACAUGAAUGAACCGAUCUCACACCCGAACAAGAGGUAUUCCGAGACUGUGUAGGGAUGGACUAUACAGUUGAGGAGGGCAUAUAUGAUUUGAUUGUACUACCCAUAACAACAAGUUGCAACUUCUUUUCGGGAGCCCAACUCAUAAGAACUCCAUGGUUAAGUGUGCUAGCCUUGGAGCAAUAUUAUGAUGGGUGACCUCCUG